Molecule: long non-coding RNA, 497 nt
Filed under: Homo sapiens (human)
Lineage: Eukaryota; Metazoa; Chordata; Mammalia; Primates; Hominidae
Description: non-protein coding lnc-ZBTB7A-1:7
Source: RNAcentral
GUGAGUGUAUCUGUGCAUGUGUGCGAGCAUGUGCGUGUGUGUGCACGUGUGCAUGUGUGGAGUCUAUGAAUGUGUGUGUGUGAGCAUGUGUACACACGUGUGAAUGGAUGCAUAUGGGCAUACGUGAAUGUGGACUGUAUGGAUGUGUGGCAUGCGGGUGUGGGCGUGUGUGUGUGACGGUGUGGACUGUACAGAUAUGUGACGGUGUGGACUGUAUAGAUGUGUGUGUGUGUGUGACGGUGUAGACCAUAUAGAUGUGUGUGUGCAUGUGAUGGUGUGGACUGUAGAGAUGUGUGUGUGUAUGAUGGUGUGGACUAUAUGGAUGUGUGACGGUGUGGACUGUAUAGAUGUGUGUGUAUGACAGUGUGGACUGUAUAGAUGUGAGACGGUGUGGACUGUAUAGAUGUGUGUGUGUAUGACGGUGUGGACUGUAUGGAUGUGUGACGGUGUGGACUGUAUAGAUGUGUGUGUGACGGUGUGGACUGUAUGGAUGUGUG